AUUGAACGCUGGCGGCAUGCCUUACACAUACAAGUCGAACGGUAACGGGCCUUCGGGUGCCGACGAGUGGCGAACGGGUGAGUAAUACAUCGGAACGUGCCUGAUCGUGGGGGAUAACGAGGCGAAAGCUUUGCUAAUACCGCAUACGAUCUACGGAUGAAAGCAGGGGACCGCAAGGCCUUGCGCGGACGGAGCGGCCGAUGGCAGAUUAGGUAGUUGGUGGGAUAAAAGCUUACCAAGCCGACGAUCUGUAGCUGGUCUGAGAGGAUGAUCAGCCACACUGGGACUGAGACACGGCCCAGACUCCUACGGGAGGCAGCAGUGGGGAAUUUUGGACAAUGGGCGCAAGCCUGAUCCAGCCAUGCCGCGUGCAGGAUGAAGGCCUUCGGGUUGUAAACUGCUUUUGUACGGAACGAAAAGCCUUCUUUUAAUACAGGAGGGUCAUGACGGUACCGUAAGAAUAAGCACCGGCUAACUACGUG
This 482-nucleotide ribosomal RNA is filed under the name uncultured bacterium. RNAcentral's name for it is "partial 16S ribosomal RNA". It matches the Rfam family "Bacterial small subunit ribosomal RNA", at positions 30 to 507 of the family's 1533-position model. The record is from RNAcentral.